RNAcentral lists this unclassified non-coding RNA (261 nucleotides) under Glomus sp. RNAcentral's name for it is "partial contains 5.8S ribosomal RNA and internal transcribed spacer 2". The record is from RNAcentral. Lineage: Eukaryota; Fungi; Glomeromycota; Glomeromycetes; Glomerales; Glomeraceae.
GUGAAUCAUCAAAUUUUUGAACGCAAAUUGCACUCUCCUCGGAGAGGAUGGCUGUUUGAGGGUUAGCGUAAAAAAAAUAGACGAAGUGGGUGUGUCGCGGUGACAUUCGUUGGAAAUUGGGUCAUCUUAAACCUUUGGGGUUUUUAAGCGGCUUAAAAUUUUCUUUACGAUUCCACGAAAGGUUCUAAGAUUUUACUUGUUAGACAGGUUUAAGGUAACGAUCUUUAGUAGGAGUGGCCGUUGCAGCGGAUCGCGAUCAUA